UUUAUGGAGAGUUUGAUCCUGGCUCAGGACGAACGCUGGCGGCGUGCCUAAUACAUGCAAGUCGAGCGAAUGACGAGAAGCUUGCUUCUCUGAUUUAGCGGCGGACGGGUGAGUAACACGUGGGUAACCUGCCUUGUAGACUGGGAUAACUUCGGGAAACCGGAGCUAAUACCGGAUAAUUCUUUUAGUCACAUGACUUUAAGCUAAAAGGCGCUUCGGCGUCACUACGAGAUGG
RNAcentral lists this ribosomal RNA (235 nucleotides) under Pseudomonas aeruginosa. Its description in RNAcentral is "partial 16S ribosomal RNA". It matches the Rfam family "Bacterial small subunit ribosomal RNA", at positions 1 to 228 of the family's 1533-position model. Lineage: Bacteria; Pseudomonadati; Pseudomonadota; Gammaproteobacteria; Pseudomonadales; Pseudomonadaceae. The record is from RNAcentral.